This 261-nucleotide long non-coding RNA is filed under the name Carica papaya (papaya). RNAcentral describes it as "long non-coding RNA (CPAP_LNC013165)". Lineage: Eukaryota; Viridiplantae; Streptophyta; Magnoliopsida; Brassicales; Caricaceae. The record is from RNAcentral.
AGCUCUCCUUCAACCGCCACUCUUCUUCAUCUCCGAUCAUGGUGUCUGCUAGGGAUUUGGGGAGCCGGUCAAUAGAGGUUUAAAUACUUUUCUUCUUCAAUCGGGGCCUUCUGUGCGAGUUCACCUAGAGAAACGAAGGCUGUCCAAUCGCACUUAUUUGGGAAACACAUUAGGACUGUUCGAAUAGAGACACGCGGGCUAUUUGAGACAAUAACUGUAUGUGUUCGAGCUCAGUACUUACUGAGCCGUUCUGGCCAAGGC